AUUGAACGCUGGCGGCAGGCCUAACACAUGCAAGUCGCACGAGUGGCGGACGGGUGAGUAACGUCUGGGAAACUGCCUGUUGGAGGGGGAUAACUCCUGGAAACGGUAGCUAAUACCGCAUACCAUCUGAUGUUCCCAGGUGGGAUUAGCGUGUUGGUGGGGUAAUGGCUCACCAAGGCGACGAUCAGUAGCUGGUCUGCGAGGAUGACCAGCCACACUGGCACUGAGACACGGUCCAGACUCCUACGGGAGGCAGCAGUGGGGAAGUUUGCACAAUGGGCGCAAGCCUGAUGCAGCCAUGCCGCGUGUCUGAAGAAGGCCUUCGGGUUGUAAAGGACUUUCAGCAGGGAGGCGUUACCCGCAGAAUAAGCACCGGCUAACUCCGUGCCAGCAGCCGCGGUAAUAC
Molecule: ribosomal RNA, 406 nt
Filed under: uncultured bacterium
Lineage: Bacteria
Description: partial 16S ribosomal RNA
Rfam family: Bacterial small subunit ribosomal RNA
Source: RNAcentral